Molecule: long non-coding RNA, 438 nt
Filed under: Mustela putorius furo (domestic ferret)
Lineage: Eukaryota; Metazoa; Chordata; Mammalia; Carnivora; Mustelidae
Description: lncRNA (ENSMPUG00000025040.1)
Source: RNAcentral
ACUUCUGCCAGAGUUCACUCAUAAGAAAUAAUGCAUGAGACCCAGCACACAAUCAGAGGGAAAUGAUUAUAUGAUGUCCACCAUGAAUGUCACCUGGCUGCCGGAAGCAAUCAGGGGUCUAAUGGAUUUCUGAGACCUACUGCCAUAGUGGGACGGGGGACAGAGCAGCCCCUUCAAGUAGAGAUGGGAAGUCCAAGAGCAGUCACAAAGAAACAGCCAGCCUCAGGUGCUCAGAAAAAUCUUCUGAAAUUCUCCCUUGGAAUCUCUCAUCAUAACAAACACUGCAAAAGGGACAUUUUGUGGAAAUCAUGUCAGGGACAAGAAAGUGGAGAGAUUCUCAGAAAUGAAAAGGUCACACGAGUUGAGAUGACUUCGAGGGGCCAUGGCACUACCACUUCUGUGACUCAAGCUACCAUCUUUACUCACUUCCACCCCUAG